RNAcentral lists this ribosomal RNA (776 nucleotides) under uncultured Neocallimastigales. Its description in RNAcentral is "partial large subunit ribosomal RNA". It matches the Rfam family "Eukaryotic large subunit ribosomal RNA", at positions 23 to 634 of the family's 3401-position model. The record is from RNAcentral. Lineage: Eukaryota; Fungi; Neocallimastigomycota; Neocallimastigomycetes; Neocallimastigales.
AGAGAGAGACAUGCGCGCAUAUCAAUAAGCGGAGGAAAAGAAACUAACAAGGAUUCCCUUAGUAACGGCGAGUGAAGCGGGAAGAGCUCAAAUUUGAAAUCUUCAAGGUUUUACCUUGACGAAUUGUAGUUUAAAGAAGUGUUUUCUGCUGAAGUUUUGGUAAAAGUUCUUUGGAAUAGGACAUCAUAGAGGGUGAGAAUCCCGUAUUUGACCAUUAUUUUCAGCUUUGUGAUACACUUUCAAAGAGUCGGAUUGUUUGGGAAUGCAGUCCAAAAUGGGCUGGUAAAUUUCAUCUAAAGCUAAAUAUUGGCGAGAGACCGAUAGCGAACAAGUACCGUGAGGGAAAGAUGAAAAGAACUUUGAAAAGAGAGUUAAACAGUACGUGAAAUUGUCAAAAGGGAAGCGUUUGACACCAGUGUUGUUUUCUCGAAAAUCAAUUAAAAAUGGCUCGAUUUUGUAUUGCUGAGACCUUAAAAGCUCACUGUACAUUUUUCGUGUCUUUUUUAAUGCACUUUUCGUUUAACAAGUCAACAUCAGUUUCUUUUGUUGUAAAAGGGUCAUUGGAAGGUGGCUUUCUUUUCGGAGAAAGUGUUUAUAGCCUUUGGCCUCUGCAAUCGGAAGAGACUGAGGUCUGCAGCGUAGACUCUUCGGGGUUAGAUACAUUUGUGCUAAGUUAUAGCUUUUUAUAGACAACUUGUUGACUAUAAUUAGUCUUGUAGCUUACUCGCUUAUGCUAUUUUACCUACGCUUAGGAUGUUGAAGAUGUAGCACAUCAU